This 118-nucleotide microRNA precursor is filed under the name Linum usitatissimum (flax). RNAcentral describes it as "miR390d stem-loop (lus-MIR390d)". Its record names the gene lus-MIR390d. It matches the Rfam family "MIR390 microRNA precursor family". The record is from miRBase by way of RNAcentral. Lineage: Eukaryota; Viridiplantae; Streptophyta; Magnoliopsida; Malpighiales; Linaceae.
AGUAUCAGAAGAAUCUGUAAAGCUCAGGAGGGAUAGCGCCAUACAAUUCGAUCCUGACCUUGCACGGAUUCGAUCACUUUGGCGCUAUCCAUCCUGAGUUUCAUCGCUUCUUCUUGCU